GACCAGACCCUCCACGCACACCCAAGCAUCUUGCAGAGGGAUUCCCCUCCUGAUCGCAGCCUGCCCAGGCCGUUGGCACUGUGGUGACCACGUCACCGAACAUGUGAGACUGGGCAGCUGUGCGCCUGAACUUGUGAUAAGCUCUCCAGCGCCCCCUGCCCCCGAAGCUGGCUGGAAGGAAGGUGGGAGACACCUGUUGGGUGGCUGAGAGCGGCAGAGCCCACAUGGGCCUCUCCCCAUGCGCCCCGCCCGCCCUGUCCGGCUCGGGUCCCGCCCCCGCGGCCCC
Molecule: long non-coding RNA, 286 nt
Filed under: Macaca nemestrina (pig-tailed macaque)
Lineage: Eukaryota; Metazoa; Chordata; Mammalia; Primates; Cercopithecidae
Description: lncRNA (ENSMNEG00000046150.1)
Source: RNAcentral